This 254-nucleotide ribosomal RNA is filed under the name uncultured bacterium. Its description in RNAcentral is "partial 16S ribosomal RNA". It matches the Rfam family "Bacterial small subunit ribosomal RNA", at positions 524 to 776 of the family's 1533-position model. The record is from RNAcentral.
CACGUAGGGUGCGAGCGUUGUCCGGAAUUAUUGGGCGUAAAGAGCUCGUAGGCGGUGUGUCGCGUCGGCCGUGAAAACCUGCAGCUUAACUGUGGGCUUGCGGUCGAUACGGGCAUCACUGGAGUUCGGCAGGGGAGACUGGAAUUCCUGGUGUAGCGGUGAAAUGCGUAGAGAUCCGGAGGAACGCCUGUGGCGCAAGCGGCCACCUGGGCCUGUCCUGACGCUGAGGUGCGAAAGCGUGGGGAGCGAACCGG